This is a small nucleolar RNA of Doryrhamphus excisus (bluestripe pipefish), 69 nucleotides long. NCBI's taxonomy places the organism in Eukaryota, Metazoa, Chordata, Actinopteri, Syngnathiformes, Syngnathidae. The record is from RefSeq and is a predicted model, not a curated record.
UCUCAAUGAUGAUGCCUUUACCAGUUCUGCUACUGAAUGCAAGUGCUGAUGUUUUAGAAUCUGAGAAGA